Molecule: ribosomal RNA, 831 nt
Filed under: uncultured eukaryote
Lineage: Eukaryota
Description: bacterial SSU rRNA
Rfam family: Eukaryotic small subunit ribosomal RNA
Source: RNAcentral
UGCUUGCGGUUAAAGCUCGUAGUUGGAUUUCUGUCUAGGGUGGCCGGUGCCCACUAUGUGAGGCAUCUGGUUCAGUCUGGGCAUCCUCUUGGGGAUCGUUUCCGUGCUUGAUUGCAUGGGGCGGAAUUCAAGACUUUUACUUUGAGGAAAUUAGAGUGUUCACGGCAAGCUUUCGCUUUGAAUACAUUAGCAUGGAAUAAUAAUAUAGGGCGUAAGUUCUAUUUUGUUGGUUUCUAGAACAUACGCAAUGAUUAAUAGGGAUAAUUGGGGGCACUCGUAUUAACACGUCAGAGGUGGAAUUCUUAGAUUGUGUUACGACGAACUACUGCGAAAGCAUUUGCCAAGGAUGUUUUCAUUGAUCAAGAACGAAAGUAUGGGGAUCGAAGACGAUUAGAUACCGUCGUAGUCUAUACCAUAAACUAUGCCAACUAGAGAUUGGAGGUCGUUUUUUUUAUGACUCCUUCAGCACCUUAUGAGAAAUCAAAGUCUUUGGGUUCCGGGGGGAGUAUGGUCGCAAGAUUGAAACUUAAAGGAAUUGACGGAAGGGCACCACCAGGAGUGGAGCCUGCGGCUUAAUUUGACUCAACACGGGGAAACUCACCAGGUCCGGACAUAGUAAGGAUUGACAGAUUGACAGCUCUUUCUUGAUUCUAUGGGUGGUGGUGCAUGGCCGUUCUUAGUUGGUGGAGUGAUUUGUCUGGUUGAUUCCGUUAACGAACGAGAUCUCCGCCUGCUAAAUAGUUCAGUGGACCCAUCGGGUUUUCGAGUAACUUCUUAGAGGGACACUCGGCGUUUAGUCGAGGGAAGUUGGAGGCAAUAACAGGUCUGUGA